GUCUCAUCAGUGACUCCUGCAAGAGAAGCUGACGGCUCCCGGCCAUUCUCAACAUUGCCCUGGCAUUUCCCUGCCUAGGAAAAACCCUCACUGCACCAAGAUCUUCUGCUUCCCUGCAGACCGGGACUGCACCGGAGCAGCGCCCCUCAGCGAUUGACUGCUGGUGGUAUCGGUUAAAACGGCAUUUUAAUCAUCUGCCGUUGCCCUGGCAACGCCCAGGUCUCCUCAGCUUCUCCCGUGAGAAGCUGCCAGCUCCUGGCGAUUCUCACUGCUGCCCUGGUGUUUCCCUGCCUCGGAAAAACCCUCACAGCGCCAAAAUCUGCCGCUUCGCUGACGACAGGGUCGGCAAAAAGUAGCUCCUCUUGGGGACUAACUUGUGGGGUCGGUUCCACCGAAUUCAAAUCUCCUGCCGUUGCCCUGGCAACACCCAGGUCUCGUUAGCGUCUCCUGCGAGAAGAUGCCGGCUCCUGGCGGUUCUCAGCGCUGCCCUGUUUUUCCCUCGGACUUGGAAAAGCCUUCACUGCACCGAGAUCUGUCGCUUCGCUGCAGACCAGGUACAGCAGGUACAGAGUGAGCUAAGCAUAGGGAAUGGAUACCUGAGCUUUCUAGCAAGCACAGUGAUGCAGAGUGAAUUUUGUCUGUCAGCUAAAGCUUUCAUAUUAACUGCAUUUUCCUGGAGAACCAGACACAUGUUUUGGUAAACCUAGCAAUGGAAUGCAAACUUAUUGAUAAGCACGGAUGGACAUCUCGCGAGAGGGGCGACGAGAAGAAAGAGACCAAGAAACUGACCAACUGGGUAUAACAUUCCAUUCACGUGAAUACUUCAUAUAAAAGUGGGAGAUCACGAGGAUCUCGUGUUGCUUUUCCCUUUUCCCUUCUGCUUAUGGCCGACAUUAGAAGAGAACCUUGCUAGUCGUCCCUGCGAACUGAGGCCUAGUGAGAGACUGAAUCCAGCUCCGGUUGGCUGCAGAGUCUAAUCCAGGACUUCGGGUGCCAGCUCUGCAGUUGCUGAGACUUUCAAGAUUGGUUUUGUAUAUUUUGUAUUAUUUUCUCUAUUCUUAUUAGUAGCAUUAGUAAAACAUCUUUAAUUUUUUCCAACUCUCUUCACUCUGUGCUUCUUUUCCUUCCAAUCGCCUCUCCUUAGUGAAAAGGGGGGAGAGGGAAGGGGGAGUGUGGGGGAGGAGAGGGGGUUAACAAUACAUCUGCCAGGGUUUUAUUGUCACCCCGCAAUCUUAACCCUCGACACAUCUAUAGAUUUUUUAAAUGUACAUAAACCAAAUCCUGUCUUUCAUGUGUAACAAUGUAGUGGAAGAGAAGUUCACUGAAAGUCCUGUCUUUUGUUAUUAUAUGAGAUCUCAAAUUUAAUUGGGGAAAUAAGCCAGAAAGUAAUGAAACAACGGAAUGAGUGGGAAACCUUUGCUUUAUAUAACAUAGGUCUGUUAAAUGUAACAUUUUACAUUUAUUUUUUCAAGUGACUGUAUGUACAUACACUAUAAAGUUGACUGCAAUACACUACAAAAAUAGCUCACAACUGUGUUAUUGCAUAUGAAAUAAUAAAAAAUACGGUACAUACCCAAAUGAAUGGGUGUGCAUGUGUGUGAAUAUGUGUGUGCAUGCAUGUACAUCACACCUGAAAAUCAAUAUGGUUCCCAAGUAUUAUAUUUUAAAUGAUAAAAUUUAUAAUCUAUCAGAACAUCCAUGAAGACCAAAUGAAUUUCUUUACAUGGCUUUUUUAUUUUUUUCAGAAAACAUGGAUAUCCAAAUAUAUAAAUGUAGGAAUUUUAUCUGUUUACUUUAAAUAUGCAUUUUGUAUUCAGAAGUAAUGUAAAGAGUGUCUAACAUUUAUCCUCUUCUGCUCUGUGUUCAUAAAGGGUCCAAACCUGAACACCACUGAACACAAACUCUCACUGUGGUUUCACACUAGUGAACCCAGAGCUGCUCCUUGAAGAUGCUCAGUGCCUUACAGACAUGGGACCAAAACAAACAUUUUUGAAGAAUAAGCCAUUGAACUGAGCCUGCAUUUGUUCUCUGUUUUCAGACUAAACUAAGUUUUAAAAGCUGUUCAGCAAAGACUAGAGAUUUUGAAGUAGCGUUUAAGUGGAUAUGCUUACUAAGGUCCUGAUCCUUCCAGACACUAAGCGGCUCACAGAAGGUACCAACAUCUUGUCAAAAUUAUUGGAAGAGCUAUCUGGAGAGCAUCACCUUGAAAAUGUGUAAUAUAUAUUCCUUUAAAAUAGUAACAAGUCAAAGCAUUGUACUAGCCUUCAUUAAAAGAGAAGGCUUGGUUUAUUUAAAAUUUUAUUAGAUUGAGUUUUUAUCAGUACCAGCUAUCAAGACUUGAAUGCUAAUCAUCACCAAAAUAUUUUAUGAACCUAUCAGAUGAUGAAAAUGAAUUAGUGCUAUGUUAUAAAUUUACUACUUGCAAACUCACAUGUAACAGUUGCUCAUAUUUUUCAUACUGCUUGCAAAAUGCUACUUGAUGCAUACAGUAGGUAGAAAAAUACAUCUGUCUACAGAAACACAUAAAGGUAUAAAAAUCUUUCCUUCGUAUUUAUUUAUAGCUUUUUUUUCAAAAGAUUAUUUUAAUUCAUUUUAAAAAUACAUUGUAAUUUUAUUUAUGGAAAGCAAACUUCUGGAAUUAAAUAGACACAUUUUACAAAUUC
Long non-coding RNA from Columba livia (rock pigeon), 2663 nucleotides. RefSeq lists it as uncharacterized. The transcript is spliced from 3 exons. NCBI's taxonomy places the organism in Eukaryota, Metazoa, Chordata, Aves, Columbiformes, Columbidae. The record is from RefSeq and is a predicted model, not a curated record.